RNAcentral lists this long non-coding RNA (228 nucleotides) under Elaeis guineensis (African oil palm). Its description in RNAcentral is "long non-coding RNA (EGUI_LNC060185)". The record is from RNAcentral. Lineage: Eukaryota; Viridiplantae; Streptophyta; Magnoliopsida; Arecales; Arecaceae.
CGCUAAUGUCUUCAAAGCCGGGCUCAUCUCGAGCUCUCAUAUUCCCUCUUUGGUGCUCAUCCACACUAAAGUCUCCCACUAUGCUAGUGGGUUUUGACAUCCGAUGACAAUUAAGGAAAGGCGCUCCAAUACUCUUUGGAGCCUGUCGAUUAUCCUCCUCUGGAUCCAUCCAAAGAGGGUUUCAUAGCCCUGGGGAUACGAGCCAUGCUAAUAACUUUGCUCUUCAGA